Octopus sinensis (East Asian common octopus) is the source of this 807-nucleotide long non-coding RNA. RefSeq lists it as uncharacterized. NCBI's taxonomy places the organism in Eukaryota, Metazoa, Mollusca, Cephalopoda, Octopoda, Octopodidae. The record is from RefSeq and is a predicted model, not a curated record. The transcript is spliced from 2 exons.
AGAACAAGAGAGAGAGAGAAAGGGAGUGGAGGGAGAAGGAGAAAUGUAUAAGUGGGCUUGGCAAGUUUUCUAAACUAGUGUUUGCGAAGCUGUUCGUCUCAGGAAAAUUUUUUGCAAUAUAACUGCAUUGGAUCCUCAGAUCGCAACUUUUAGAUACCGAUCUAAACCAGCUUCAUAUUUGCUGACUUUCAUCUUCAACACUCAUUCUUUUUUCGUCUCAACAACUCCUGGCGGGAAGCAGAAAGAUGAUGAAAAAAUCUUCCACAUGGCGUAGCUGGGGUGGUUCUUACCAUGGCCCACGGCAGGUGUUUGAACAGAAGCUUUCUGUCAUGUAUGACAAACACCAGCAACACAUGGAUGUGCUGCGUUUAGCUUAUGAAAAUUCACUGAAGGUUGCUUUGAUGUUAAUGGAAAGUGAAAAAACUCCAGAAGCUGUUACAGAAUACCACAAGAGAGUUGCAGAUUCCCUGGCAACUUAUGAGGCUAGUGUGGAAAGGAUCUGGAAAAAAUAUGACGAGGUGACUGCUGACAUUCUGGCAGAUUAUACAAGUAAAAUGAAAAUCAGUGGGAACAAAAGAAACUCUAACAUUGAGCAAGAUGAAAAGCAAUAGGUUACUAAGGCUGUCUUAUAUUUUAACUGUUGAAAUAAAUUGAAAAAAAAAAUUAAUGAAAAAAUUACCUCAUCAGAUGAAUAACGAGUAUAGUUUGGAGAAACUAACUUAUAGUAAUUUAUCAUAUCACUCAGUAAUGAUAUUUUUCUAUAUAUAUUUUGUCAUUAAUUUGUAAUACAAAAAUUAAUUUCCUUUU